GUGAAGAACGUAGCGAAAUGCGAUAAGUAAUGUGAAUUGCAGAAUUCAGUGAAUCAUCGAAUCUUUGAACGCACAUUGCGCCCGCCAGUAUUCUGGCGGGCAUGCCUGUCCGAGCGUCAUUUCAACCCUCGAACCCCUCCGGGGGGUCGGCGUUGGGGACCUCGGGAGCCCCUAAGACGGGAUCCCGGCCCCGAAAUACAGUGGCGGUCUCGCCGCAGCCUCUCCUGCGCAGUAGUUUGCACAACUCGCACCGGGAGCGCGGCGCGUCCACGUCCGUAAAACACCCAACUUCUGAAAUGUUGACCUCGGAUCAGGUAGGAAUACCCGCUGAACUUAAGCAUAUCAAUAAGCGGAGGA
RNAcentral lists this unclassified non-coding RNA (357 nucleotides) under soil metagenome. Its description in RNAcentral is "partial contains 5.8S ribosomal RNA, internal transcribed spacer 2, and large subunit ribosomal RNA". The stretch from base 2 to 119 matches the Rfam family "5.8S ribosomal RNA", at positions 37 to 154 of the family's 154-position model. The record is from RNAcentral.